This 468-nucleotide ribosomal RNA is filed under the name uncultured bacterium. Its description in RNAcentral is "partial 16S ribosomal RNA". It matches the Rfam family "Bacterial small subunit ribosomal RNA", at positions 28 to 507 of the family's 1533-position model. The record is from RNAcentral.
GACGAACGCUGGCGGCGUGCUUAACACAUGCAAGUCGAACGGAAAGGCCCUGCUUUUGUGGGGUGCUCGAGUGGCGAACGGGUGAGUAACACGUGAGUAACCUGCCCUUGACUUUGGGAUAACUUCAGGAAACUGGGGCUAAUACCGGAUAGGAGCUCCUGCUGCAUGGUGGGGGUUGGAAAGUUUCGGCGGUUGUGGAUGGACUCGCGGCUUAUCAGCUUGUUGGUGGGGUAGUGGCUUACCAAGGCUUUGACGGGUAGCCGGCCUGAGAGGGUGACCGGCCACAUUGGGACUGAGAUACGGCCCAGACUCCUACGGGAGGCAGCAGUGGGGAAUAUUGCACAAUGGGCGGAAGCCUGAUGCGGCAACGCCGCGUGCGGGAUGACGGCCUUCGGGUUGUAAACCGCUUUCGCCUGUGACGAAGCGUGAGUGACGGUAAUGGGUAAAGAAGCACCGGCUAACUACGUG